RNAcentral lists this long non-coding RNA (522 nucleotides) under Homo sapiens (human). RNAcentral's name for it is "HSALNT0138423". The record is from RNAcentral. Lineage: Eukaryota; Metazoa; Chordata; Mammalia; Primates; Hominidae.
ACAGGGAGAGGCUUCUCCCAUUGCAGUCCUAGCUCCAGAGGGGAUGGAGAGGCGCGACUGUGGGAGCUGGAAGGGGCACCACCCGGCAAUUGCGGGAUAAAGCAAAUGCUGCACACAGAGUGUGAAACUUAACCUGGUUGAGAAUUUUCGGCACAUCAUGAAAUCAUAAGUUUGUAUUGGAAAGUCCAUUCUCUAGACAUCCGUGAACAAAGUACUGAGGGGACGUAGGAGAUUGGCACUGAAAAUGCGAGAACCCCCAUUUAAGUGUUACUUAGACCAAUCUGUUUUACGCUUUGGAAAAGCAAGUUUUUUUUCCAACUUAUACGGUAGCUGGAAUAAUAGAAUUAUGUUCCCAAAGCGUUGAGAGGAAAUGGAGAGUUUGUUUAUGGCCUAUCUUCUGCUAAUACCAGUCUGUAGCUUGUCUACAAUGGGGUAGUAGUCACCUGAGGUUUGUCACAAUUCUGAACUCCCGAUUUGCUUUCCUGUCCUCACCCCCAACUGUGAGUUAUCAGGAGUUGUGAU